UAUUGCACAAUGGGCGCAAGCCUGAUGCAGCCAUGCCGCGUGUAUGAAGAAGGCCUUCGGGUUGUAAAGUACUUUCAGCGAGGAGGAAGGCAUUGUGGUUAAUAACCACAGUGAUUGACGUUACUCGCACAAGAAGCACCGGCUAACUCCGUGCCAGCAGCCGCGGUAGUACGGAGGGUGCAAGCGUUAAUCGGAAUUACUGGGCGUAAAGCGCACGCAGGCGGUCUGUCAAGUCGGAUGUGAAAUCCCCGGGCUCAACCUGGGAACUGCAUUCGAAACUGGCAGGCUAGAGUCUUGUAGAGGGGGGUAGAAUUCCAGGUGUAGCGGUGAAAUGCGUAGAGAUCUGGAGGAAUACCGGUGGCGAAGGCGGCCCCCUGGACAAAGACUGACGCUCAGGUGCGAAAGCGUGGGGAGCAAACAGGA
Molecule: ribosomal RNA, 423 nt
Filed under: uncultured bacterium
Lineage: Bacteria
Description: bacterial SSU rRNA
Rfam family: Bacterial small subunit ribosomal RNA
Source: RNAcentral